CGAUGACACUCUGUGCCAAGAAUCGCUGAAAGGGAUGAUAAUCCCUUGGAGCUUCAGCAGUGUCAAGAAUGGCUGCGUAGUUAUUUGGAACAAAUUCAACACCUGCCAAGAUAAAAGAUGUAGUGGCCAUUAGAUCAGAGAUUAUGAGAAGAAGAUGUUUGAGGAAGUGUGUAGAUGAAGAUUUGAAUUUGCAGAGAACAGAGUGUAAGAGUGUUGGUUAGAAAGUGAAAGUAGAGAGUAAGUGUAAAAUUGAAUAAUAAGCAAUAAAAUCUGAUCUGAAAAACUCUUCAGAUUUUGUUGAACUGAGUACGCAUGGGCUUUUUGUUCAAUUAGA
This 334-nucleotide long non-coding RNA is filed under the name Daucus carota (carrot). RNAcentral's name for it is "long non-coding RNA (DCAR_LNC007492)". Lineage: Eukaryota; Viridiplantae; Streptophyta; Magnoliopsida; Apiales; Apiaceae. The record is from RNAcentral.